Molecule: ribosomal RNA, 404 nt
Filed under: Actinomycetes bacterium
Lineage: Bacteria; Bacillati; Actinomycetota; Actinomycetes
Description: Actinobacteria bacterium partial 16S ribosomal RNA
Rfam family: Bacterial small subunit ribosomal RNA
Source: RNAcentral
UGGGGAAUAUUGGACAAUGGGCGCAAGCCUGAUCCAGCCAUGCCGCGUGAGUGAUGAAGGCCCUAGGGUUGUAAAGCUCUUUCACCGGUGAAGAUAAUGACGGUAACCGGAGAAGAAGCCCCGGCUAACUUCGUGCCAGCAGCCGCGGUAAUACGAAGGGGGCUAGCGUUGUUCGGAUUUACUGGGCGUAAAGCGCACGUAGGCGGACUAUUAAGUCAGGGGUGAAAUCCCGGGGCUCAACCCCGGAACUGCCUUUGAUACUGGUAGUCUUGAGUUCGAGAGAGGUGCGUGGAAUUCCGAGUGUAGAGGUGAAAUUCGUAGAUAUUCGGAGGAACACCAGUGGCGAAGGCGGCACACUGGCUCGAUACUGACGCUGAGGUGCGAAAGCGUGGGGAGCAAACAGG